GGGGCCGUAGCUCAGCUGGGAGAGCAUCAGGCUGGCAGUCUGAAGGUCGUGGGUUCAAAUCCCACCGGCUCCA
Molecule: transfer RNA, 73 nt
Filed under: bacterium
Lineage: Bacteria
Also listed under: 2 other names
Description: tRNA-Ala
Rfam family: tRNA
About the family: Transfer RNA (tRNA) molecules are approximately 80 nucleotides in length. Their secondary structure includes four short double-helical elements and three loops (D, anti-codon, and T loops).
Source: RNAcentral